CCUACGGGUGGCUGCAGUGGGGAAUAUUGGACAAUGGGCGAAAGCCUGAUCCAGCCAUGCCGCGUGUGUGAAGAAGGCCUUCGGGUUGUAAAGCACUUUCAGUGGGGAAGAAAGCCUUGGGGCUAAUACCCUCGAGGAAGGACAUCACCCACAGAAGAAGCACCGGCUAACUCCGUGCCAGCAGCCGCGGUAAUACGGAGGGUGCGAGCGUUAAUCGGAAUUACUGGGCGUAAAGCGCGCGUAGGCGGUCUGAUAAGCCGGUUGUGAAAGCCCCGGGCUCAACCUGGGAACGGCAUCCGGAACUGUCAGGCUAGAGUGCAGGAGAGGAAGGUAGAAUUCCCGGUGUAGCGGUGAAAUGCGUAGAGAUCGGGAGGAAUACCAGUGGCGAAGGCGGCCUUCUGGACUUACACUGACGCUGAGGUACGAAAGCGUGGGUAGCAAACAGGAUUAGAUACCCUAGUAGUC
RNAcentral lists this ribosomal RNA (465 nucleotides) under Vreelandella stevensii. RNAcentral describes it as "partial 16S ribosomal RNA". It matches the Rfam family "Bacterial small subunit ribosomal RNA", at positions 338 to 795 of the family's 1533-position model. The record is from RNAcentral. Lineage: Bacteria; Pseudomonadati; Pseudomonadota; Gammaproteobacteria; Oceanospirillales; Halomonadaceae.